GAGAUUGAGGAUUCGUUAAGUUGUUGAAGACGCAGCUUGGACGAAAGGUGAGAAUACCUUGAAUCCCUUCUGAGUUUGUCAGGUGGGCAUUCUCGUGGCAAAUAAUGAGGGAUAAAUUACCCUAGGGAGCAAGACCCAAGAACAGUUAGAGCUCUAGUCUGGCGCCAUCUAGUACUCAUGACUGGAGUGUAAUCAUGA
Prunus avium (sweet cherry) is the source of this 198-nucleotide non-coding RNA. Lineage: Eukaryota; Viridiplantae; Streptophyta; Magnoliopsida; Rosales; Rosaceae. The record is from RefSeq and is a predicted model, not a curated record.